Molecule: transfer RNA, 102 nt
Filed under: Punctularia strigosozonata HHB-11173 SS5
Lineage: Eukaryota; Fungi; Basidiomycota; Agaricomycetes; Corticiales; Punctulariaceae
Description: tRNA-Val
Source: RNAcentral
GGUCGCGUGUUCUAAUGGUUAUGAUUUCUGUCUCACAUCGAGAUGCAAGGGCAUCCACGACAUGCUCACAGAAGGUUCCCAGUUCGAUCCUGGGCGCGACCA